Rosa chinensis is the source of this 1774-nucleotide long non-coding RNA. RefSeq lists it as uncharacterized. The transcript is spliced from 13 exons. NCBI's taxonomy places the organism in Eukaryota, Viridiplantae, Streptophyta, Magnoliopsida, Rosales, Rosaceae. The record is from RefSeq and is a predicted model, not a curated record.
GGCUCCAAAUGGAGUGACGCUUUUGCCCUCUCUUGAAAUUUUUUGCAGCCCUGCCACUUCCAGAAGUGAUUUCCAGACUUCUACAUCUACAGAUAGAGAGGAACGAUCCAGAGAGAGAUAGGAGGUCGAGUGUGAUAGAGAGCAAUCCAGAGAGAUAUCAAGAACGAUCCACAGAGAGAUAGAGAGAUCGGGUGUGUGUUUUGUGCUUUCUACAGAGAGAGAGAGAGAGAGAGAGAGAGAGAGAGAGAGCUGAUAGUCAGGAAAGGGGAUUUUCACCUCAUCAUCCGAGCACGAAGUUCUAUGCAAAGCAGUACUUGGAUUGUUGUAUGUAGACAAUAGAAGCACUGAAAUCUAUCUAUAAAAUCAGCAUUUUCAAUUUUGAUAGAGCUCCACAAACAUCAAGCAGAUAUAGCCUUAUACUAUGAUUGAUGUCUUCAAACAUUGUUGUGUGCUUAGCUUUGCUGAUUGAAGAAGAUAAAUGGGAAAAUGAGCUCUCCUUCAGCUUCACAAGGUUGCAGAAAACAAAAGAAGUGUUGCUGGGUUUAGGAUUUCAGUGAUUGAUUUGGAGCGGUUGAAGAAAACAGAAGAAGUGUUGCUGGGUUUGGGAUUUCAGUGAUUGAAGGGUAUAAAACGCGGUGAGGAGAUAGAAGCGAUCUUUCUUCCCGUUCUUCAUUCUUGGCUGAUCUCUGCGUUUCUGUUGUUGGUAGAGUGAAAGAGAGGGAGAGAAUUGCAGAGAAUAGGAGUUCAUGUUAGUAAACGAGAGGGAAGACAGAGAUUGGAAUUAGAUCGAGGAAAGCAGGAGGUGUUGGGCUCAUUGUCGCGAUCUUCUGUCUCUCUCUUUUUCUCUUCGUUUUUGGCUGGGUUCUUCGCAUGUACAGGAAAAAUGCCAUGCACAUAUCGUCGAAAGAGAGUUGACUGAGCUGGUGAGAUGUUGCAGCUGGGUGUUAUCAAUAAAUUGAUUGAGUUGGGUCUUGAGAUUGUGCAAUGAGGCUAUCAAUUAUAGUAUUUUCCCAGUGGAGUUUAGUAUCAUUCUGUUUGGUAUAGCCAAGUUGCAGCUCCAGCAAAUAGAGUGAAGGCUUGAAGAAUAAGAGAAGCAGCACAAGGUCUGAUGGUCAGGUUGAAGAGAUACUUGGAGAUGAGGGGUGCUGAUGGAGGGCCGGCCUUGGAGAAGCUAGCUUAUGUGCUUUGCUUUUAUUUUGGAAUGUAUUAGACAUGACAGCUCCCUAAACUCCUAAAGAAAGACAGAUGCUGAGAGAGAAGGUGAUAAACACAUGUUAAAAAAAAGUGUCAUCCUGCAAAUACUUGGAAUAGAUUGACUUAAUAACUUUUCACAUCUAAGUUUGAAUAUUUUUUUAAAGCACGUUCCAGAAACAGGACUAAAGACACCAUUUUGUGAUGCAUGUUGCUGAAGAUGUAAUGAAGUCUGCAUUUUGCAGAGGUAAAUUUAUCUUAUUGCUGAGAUAGUAUUCAUGUGUGAGUGCGAUUCGAGCUCAAGCAUCCUCUGGUCUUCUAUGGGAGGGCCUGGAAUGAAGAGCCUUUAAGGAAUCAAGUUCUUAAUGAAGUGGUCGAGGUUGUGAGCACCAUUUUGAAGAGCCUCCACUGAUAUGUGGUGACGAACAUCAACACCUCUUUUCAGCAGACAGAUCAAAUGUAGCUAGGUUAGCCUAUUAAGUAGAACAAUAUAUUUUGAGAAGCUCUGUCAACAGCAGUUGUAUUGUAUAUUUGCACAUUAUCAGAACAUUCACAUUAAUGGUAAUGUUAGUUGCAAACAUAA